RNAcentral lists this transfer RNA (74 nucleotides) under Sulfurospirillum sp. RNAcentral's name for it is "tRNA-Thr". It matches the Rfam family "tRNA". From Rfam's summary of the family: Transfer RNA (tRNA) molecules are approximately 80 nucleotides in length. Their secondary structure includes four short double-helical elements and three loops (D, anti-codon, and T loops). Lineage: Bacteria; Pseudomonadati; Campylobacterota; Epsilonproteobacteria; Campylobacterales; Sulfurospirillaceae. The record is from RNAcentral.
GCUGAUAUAGCUCAGCUGGCUAGAGCACCUGAUUCGUAAUCAGGAGGUUGCGGGUUCAAGUCCCGUCGUUGGCU